RNAcentral lists this ribosomal RNA (433 nucleotides) under uncultured bacterium. RNAcentral's name for it is "partial 16S ribosomal RNA". It matches the Rfam family "Bacterial small subunit ribosomal RNA", at positions 29 to 507 of the family's 1533-position model. The record is from RNAcentral.
AACGAACGCUGGCGGCACGCCUAACACAUGCAAGUCGAACGAGACCUUCGGGUCUAGUGGCGCACGGGUGCGUAACGCGUGGGAACCUGCCCUUAGGUUCGGAAUAACUCCCCGAAAGGGGUGCUAAUACCGGAUAAUGUCUUCGGACCAAAGAUUUAUCGCCUUUGGAUGGGCCCGCGUUGGAUUAGCUAGUUGGUAGGGUAAAAGCCUACCAAGGCGACGAUCCAUAGCUGGUCUGAGAGGAUGAUCAGCCACACUGGGACUGAGACACGGCCCAGACUCCUACGGGAGGCAGCAGUGGGGAAUAUUGGACAAUGGGCGAAAGCCUGAUCCAGCAAUGCCGCGUGAGUGAUGAAGGCCUUAGGGUUGCAAAGCUCUUUUACCCGGGAUGAUAAUGACAGUACCGGGAGAAUAAGCUCCGGCUAACUCCGUG